RNA transcript from Gavialis gangeticus (Gharial), 4371 nucleotides. It is a transcript of the gene named purinergic receptor P2Y1, with no coding region annotated. Lineage: Eukaryota; Metazoa; Chordata; Crocodylia; Gavialidae. The transcript is spliced from 3 exons. The record is from RefSeq and is a predicted model, not a curated record.
GCCUGCAGAAGGGGAGGGGGUUGUGUCUGCUUGCUCCAGUCACUCUGAAGGCAGCGUGUGCGCGGGAGCGGGAGCGGAGCCUGCCCGAGCUAGAUGCUUUCUUGUCCUCCCAGAGACGCUUGCUGCUUCACCCUUGGACCUGUCUGACUUUAGUAGAGAGACCAUGACUGAAGUCCUGUUCUCAGCUGUUUUGAAUGGGACUGAAGCCAACUUGCUGUCCAGCAGUGUUUGGUCUCCGGGAAAUGCCACUAGCAAAUGUUCCCUCACAAAAACUGGCUUCCAGUUCUAUUACCUGCCCACCGUCUACAUCCUAGUCUUUAUCACCGGGUUCCUGGGCAAUAGUGUGGCAAUCUGGAUGUUUGUCUUCCACAUGAGGCCUUGGAGUGGCAUCUCAGUUUACAUGUUCAACCUGGCAUUAGCUGACUUCUUGUAUGUCCUGACUCUCCCUGCCCUGAUUUUUUAUUACUUUAAUAAAACUGACUGGAUCUUUGGAGAUAUCAUGUGCAAACUGCAAAGGUUCAUCUUCCAUGUGAACCUCUAUGGCAGUAUUCUUUUUUUGACUUGCAUCAGUGUGCAUAGAUACACAGGAGUGGUGCAUCCUUUGAAAUCACUGGGGCGGCUGAAAAAGAAGAAUGCUGUUUAUAUCAGUACCCUUGUCUGGGUCAUUGUUGUGGCUGUGAUCUCUCCAAUAUUCUUCUUUUCUGGAACUGGGUUAAGGAGAAAUAAAACCAUUACAUGUUAUGACACUACUGCUGACGAUUACCUGAGAAGUUACUUCAUUUACAGUAUGUGCACCACUGUGUUCAUGUUCUGCAUCCCAUUCAUAUUGAUUCUUGGUUGCUAUGGGCUAAUAGUGAAAGCUUUGAUUUACAAGGAUUUGGACAAUUCUCCUCUUAGGAGAAAAUCAAUUUACCUGGUUAUUAUCGUGUUGACAGUCUUUGCUGUAUCUUAUCUUCCCUUCCAUGUAAUGAAGACCUUGAAUCUAAGAGCCAGGCUAGAUUUUCAGACUCCUCAAAUGUGUGCCUUCAAUGACAAGGUUUAUGCCACAUACCAAGUGACAAGAGGUCUGGCUAGUCUCAACAGCUGUGUAGAUCCUAUUCUCUACUUUUUGGCAGGUGAUACCUUCAGAAGAAGGCUGUCAAGGGCAACUCGAAAAGCAUCUAGAAGAAGUGAACUGAAUGUGCAAUCAAAAAGUGAGGAAAUGACUCUCAAUAUUUUAGCAGAAUAUAAACAGAAUGGAGACACAAGCUUGUGAAUGAAAAAGAUUUGCAAACAGAAGCACAGUCCACCUGGUUUUAACACAGUAGGACACCACACUGUCAUGAGUGUUUGGGAAAAUCUACCAAGCUUGCUUUUGUAAAAAACAAAAAAAAAAAACAAAAAGCAAACAAACAAACAAAAAAAAACUCAUUUUCUGAGCCUAGGGAAAACUUGAGCAAAGUCCUACCACAUCCAGAACUACCAUCCUGCUCCGAUGUGACUCCCUGAUGUGCACAUAUUGAGAUGUCACAGUUACCACUAAACCCAGCUGGAACAUGGAGCUGAUCCACACAAUCUCAUGUUAAGUCCCUUCUUCUUUUUCUAAAACAUUGCUGUAUUUGGCAUAUACUCUAUAUCGUAGAGUAGGUAGAUCGAUGGCAAGAUCAUACAGAAAAGACUUCUUAACUCCAUUCUCCAGCAUGGUUACUUUGUAUCUGCAACAUCACAGCACAGUGUAUAUUGGGCCAUCACAUCGAAGAGGAAGCUGGUCAACUAUGGCAAUUACAGACCGUAAAUAAUAGGUUUUCCUAGAACAGUGUUUCUUAACCUUUUUAGACUUAAGGCAUCCCUUGGAAAGUAUUCGGUCUUAGCUUUCACUCAAUUUCUUGACCAUGGAAAAAUGAUAAAGUAGUUCUUCUGUUGCAAAGAUCUUAGACUACAACAAGCCAGAAUGGCUUUGACACUGUAGAUACAUAUUUGAAAUCUCUGGGUUUACCUGGUGAAUCAUAUAGGUAUUUAUAUCCCACAACACCCUUAAAUGGAUCUCAUGGCAUCCCAGGAUGUCACAACACCCUGGUUGAGAAUCAUUGUCCUGGAAAGCAGGUUAAAUGCCCCUCUUAACUUACCCCUGAAGGUAUAUCGGCAAUAUAUAUUUUGUACUAAAAAUGAUCACCCUGACUAGUUUUGAGGCUAAAGAUGCCUUGCAUUUAUUCACAGAACAAGCAUGGUAUAGGUGAUAGAAGGGUAAACUUCCCCUAAAUCACCUCAGCAUUGUUUCUCAUUCCUGGCCAAAAGGGACCAUCUUUAGGUAGGUAAGAAGAACUUGGUCUAUUCUAUUCAGUCUUUGACUUUGCUGAAGCUUCCGACUAUGAUGUCAUUUAGCAACAACGAUGAUAAUUCCUUUUGUGGUCUUGUUCAAUGGUAACUGAAUCUAGGCAGUCACUUCAUCAUAAAAAGACCACCUUCCAGUACUGACUUUACUAAACUUGAACCAGCAAGUUAAGUGAUUGCUCUGUGUUUUAUGGUUAAUUCCUUGGGCUUAUUUUUUUGCUUUCCAUCUUUGCUGGUCAUCUUCAAAACAUAAAUUAUUUAUUGAGGGAACCAUUACAACCCUUGGGGUAAAUGCUUUUAACAGACUGGAUACCUGACCUACUAAGCAGAGCUACGGAGAUCCAUAAAGAAGCAAAUGACUAUUCAUAGGAUACAAUUUGCAUUCAGCUCCAUUGAGCUAAAUUUUUCUCAUUUAUGCCCGUGCAUUUCCAGGAAGAGUAAUGUUUAAUGCAAAAUGAAACAUCCAUGGAAUCCAGUUCCUGCACAUAGGCUACAGGCACUUUUGGCUGGGUAUCUUGGCUGUUUAAAUUAUGUUUUGCUUUUAUAUAAUCAGUUUUGAGUCAAGUUUAUGUACUACAGCAAAAGCUCUGUUAUCCGGCACCCAUGGGGAAUGGGCUAUUUCACCUGCUGUUUCCCCAUCUGUGGAGAAGUGAUGGUACAGGACAUAGGAGAGAGCAUAACUCCUGGUAUAUUUUACUGGAAUCUAAGUACAUAAUGCUAUAUAAAAUGAUAAUUACUUUUAUAUACCCAUCUCCCACUCCCAAAAUGUAGUCUCAAGAAAAUAAUAUUCCUUUGGGUAUGAGGAGGGAGGAAGAGGGAAAACAUGUUUCAAAUUCUUCAUUCUUCUGGGGGGUUUUUUGCCCCAUGUUACUUUUAUCCCCUAAUAAUGUAUACAGCUUUCUGUCUGUGACAAGGGCAUAUUUUCUAAAAAUAUAACUUAAUACAUACUAUUCCUAGCCUAAGUAUUAAAGUGCCCAAUUUCUGCCUGGAGUCAAGUUUUGUGAGAGAGAGAGAAAUGCACUGUUUUGCUAAAUGUUGCCUGAAGUUCUCUCUCAGUCUAGGCAUUUCUUCCAUGUUUAUGAGUUCGUGUGUUUCCACAAUUUCCAGUAAUGUCUACAGAAGUUACAGCACUAAUGAUACAUAAUGGUUUACGUGUUCAGUACAUUAUUAUACAAACAUCAUUGUCCCUCUGAGUUAGGUAAAUUAUCCCUAUGUAUACACGAAAAAGCUGACAGAGAGAGGUAAAGCAAAUUGCCCAGGGCCAAACAUUUAAUCGGCAACUGAGAUGGGAUUGGAACUCAGGAGAGUGACUCUCUCAACCUAUUUAUAUAAACUAUGCUGCUUUUGUGCACGUAAUUCAGUAAGAAUCUUGCAUGUGUACCUGAGGGAAGAAUUUGCCCUUCACAUGAAAGCUAUUCUAAAAAUACUAAGAAAAACUUAACUACAGUACAGCUGUUAACUAGCAACAUUUUGCUGCUCAUAUGUUUAUUGUAUUAUUUUUAAUUCCAGAUGUUUUAGACACUAUUGAAAAUUUGACUGCUUCAUCUGCAUCUGUUACAGAAUAUUAUGUCUGGGGUGUAAUUGUAUUUCAUCAUAAUUUCAAACUAAUAUGACGGAAUAAAACUUGUGAUUCAUAGGCUAUUUUUUGUGAAUUUGGACUAUAUUGUGUCUCAUGUGAGUAUGUGAAAAUGUUUAUUUUUCUGUUGUUCUAUGUGAUUUGCUAUUGUUGAGUAAAUCCAAUUUAUUUGUGAUUAACAGUGCCAUUUAAUUUUAUUUGCCAACAGAGCAGUGUUACUUGAUAUUUAAGCUUCUCAGGUUUCGUAGUUAGUUUAAACCAGUAGUAGCUGAAAAAAACAGAAUUGUAUAUAACUCUUAUGAAUAAAAAAGAUGUCCGUUUUUUAUGAAACACUGUUGUUUGCAUGCAGUUUUUUGUGUAAGGCAUGGCUACUGAAGCUGUAACUAUUUUUAGUGACAACAGAACUGCAGUGCAACCGCCAGAGUUACUGGCAUUGUACCUAGCAACUUAAGACUGAACAAGACCCAAUAAAAUCAUGAAACAUU